UACGGAGGGUGCGAGCGUUGUCCGGAAUUACUGGGCGUAAAGGGCGCGUAGGCGGUUCGUUAAGUUGCUGGUGAAAUCCCGGGGCUCAACUCCGGGGCUGCCGGCAAGACUGGCGGGCUCGAGCACGGUAGAGGCAGAUGGAAUUCCCGGUGUAGCGGUGGAAUGCGUAGAUAUCGGGAAGAAUACCGGUGGCGAAGGCGUUCUGCUGGGCCGUUGCUGACGCUGAGGCGCGACAGCGUGGGGAG
This 245-nucleotide ribosomal RNA is filed under the name uncultured bacterium. RNAcentral describes it as "partial 16S ribosomal RNA". It matches the Rfam family "Bacterial small subunit ribosomal RNA", at positions 524 to 768 of the family's 1533-position model. The record is from RNAcentral.